ACUUAAAAAAAAAAAACUCAGAGGAUGAUAUAACAAAAGCAGUCUUAUUAGACCUAAUGAUAAUGACUGACAUUUGUUGAGUUUUUCCUAUGCGCCAGUGGCUGUUCUAAGGGAUUUACAUCUAUUGACUCAGUUUCUCCUUGCAGCGACAUGCGAGAAUUGAAGACUAGUGGAAGACCAUGGCUGCUGGCACGGACUAAGGACAGGAUUACCUGCCUUUGAAUGCUAGUGACUCUCUUACUGGUUGGGUUAGCUAGAGUGAGGAACACCCUGUCACUCAAGCUCAAUAAAAU
Molecule: long non-coding RNA, 293 nt
Filed under: Mustela putorius furo (domestic ferret)
Lineage: Eukaryota; Metazoa; Chordata; Mammalia; Carnivora; Mustelidae
Description: lncRNA (ENSMPUG00000028573.1)
Source: RNAcentral